AGUGAACGCUGGCGGUAGGCCUAACACAUGCAAGUCGAACGGCAGCACAGUAAGAGCUUGCUCUUACGGGUGGCGAGUGGCGGACGGGUGAGGAAUACAUCGGAAUCUACUUUUUCGUGGGGGAUAACGUAGGGAAACUUACGCUAAUACCGCAUACGACCUACGGGUGAAAGCAGGGGAUCUUCGGACCUUGCGCGAUUGAAUGAGCCGAUGUCGGAUUAGCUAGUUGGCGGGGUAAAGGCCCACCAAGGCGACGAUCCGUAGCUGGUCUGAGAGGCUGAUCAGCCACACUGGAACUGAGACACGGUCCAGACUCCUACGGGAGGCAGCAGUGGGGAAUAUUGGACAAUGGGCGCAAGCCUGAUCCAGCCAUACCGCGUGGGUGAAGAAGGCCUUCGGGUUGUAAAGCCGUUUUGUUGGGAAAGAAAAGCAGCAGGUUAAUACCCCGCUGUUCUGACGGUACCCAAAGAAUAAGCACCGGCUAACUUCGUG
This 492-nucleotide ribosomal RNA is filed under the name uncultured bacterium. Its description in RNAcentral is "partial 16S ribosomal RNA". It matches the Rfam family "Bacterial small subunit ribosomal RNA", at positions 29 to 507 of the family's 1533-position model. The record is from RNAcentral.